GUUUGAUUGUUCAGCUUUCGAGGUUUUGCCAACCCCUCCUGCUCGUCGGUCUGUCCGCGUGCAGCAUUUCUAGAAAGCAAAGCGGAACAAGAAGAGCCGCGGAGGGUAGUAGUCUAGUAGAUAACAACAAAUGGAACAGCAGUGCGCAAAUUAUUAGAAGUCUCUCCCCAGCGCCAAAGGUUAAGAAAGCCUGGUUGCCUCCUCCGACUAAUCAAAUUCCAGCCUUCAUUUAUUAUUAUACUCCUAGUGGUAAACCAUGUGCUGGGCCUUGGACGUGACGCGCCUCAUGAUCAUCGCCGAACUCGGAUCCUCUACGCCGCCGUAUAUAUCCUUGGCUGCUUUGGCAUGCGUCGACGGUGGAUCGCACGCAGCGAAGAUGCAGACGCGACGGUUGCUAUAUAAGGGCAUGUUUAGUUCGCUACCUAACUUGACAUAUUUUAACUAACUUUUCUAUUUAAUGUUAGUUCUUCAAUUUAAAUGAUUAAACUUAAGUAAAGUGUAGCACGGUUACCCUUGAACCAACCAUGUAGGGUACAAUACUCCUAAUGAUUGGCAGAGUAAUUAAUGAUAAUAGUAGUAGUAUAAAGAGCGGAUAACGAACCUUGUUCUGAAUCCAAUUCCAUCUAUGACGAUAUCGUCCGAUCCCAUGUCAUCCUUCCUCACCCAUCCAAUUCCGACGCGAAACUUGCAGCCAUGCGUGCGUCGUGAUUGGUUUGGUAGGUUGAGCAAACACAUGGCCGGGGAGGGACCAUGCGAGAGCGAGACGCGCGCG
Molecule: long non-coding RNA, 772 nt
Filed under: Zea mays
Lineage: Eukaryota; Viridiplantae; Streptophyta; Magnoliopsida; Poales; Poaceae
Description: long non-coding RNA (ZMAY_LNC005489)
Source: RNAcentral